This 537-nucleotide long non-coding RNA is filed under the name Solanum melongena (eggplant). RNAcentral's name for it is "long non-coding RNA (SMEL_LNC000035)". The record is from RNAcentral. Lineage: Eukaryota; Viridiplantae; Streptophyta; Magnoliopsida; Solanales; Solanaceae.
GCUUGUUACUUUUGUUCUGUGAAAUCAUUAACUCGAUCCAGUAACAACAAAUCUCCCAAAUCUAAGGUAUGUGUCAUGAGUCACUUGUAUAUGCAACCUUUUAUUAAUAAUGAGAAACUUUUUGGUAUACAAACUGUAUAUCAAAAAGUAGAGAAUCUACAUAAUACGAUUCUCCAUGAACAACACCCAAUCAUUUAUCCAAAUUGAAAUCUCAAGGGUGCACCAAAAAGAAACAAGAAAUGAGAUGUUUCUCCUCAAAUGUACGUGAUCAUUCUCCAUUCCAUCUAAAGUUUCUACUUUUUUUCUUCGACUAGAUCCACAGAAUUGCUUGUGGGACGACAUCCCAGGCCUUUGACUUCUCUUCCUUCUAAUUUUUUUUCAGUGGAACUUGCUCCAUCAUUGUGCCUGGCAUCGCCCAAUGCAGUCCUAACCAUCUCAAAAUCUCACACCACAAGCAAGUCACCACUAAAUAAAGUAAGAGGAGGAGGUCUACAUCUUCACUUGAACAUUUGCACAUGAAGCACCACUGUACAUAUG